Molecule: long non-coding RNA, 10812 nt
Filed under: Equus caballus (horse)
Lineage: Eukaryota; Metazoa; Chordata; Mammalia; Perissodactyla; Equidae
Description: lncRNA (ENSECAG00000043963.1)
Source: RNAcentral
CUCGUGGACUCCUGGACCUUCCACAGUCAGAGUCAUAACGCUUCAGCGCGCUGUGCUCCAGAGGCCCUGCGGCGGGAUGUGGAGCUGCCGACUGGCUCUGGCCCAAAACUGUGCGCUGGAGGGACUGCCUGAAGCCAAAACGGGGCAGGGCACCGCGCAUGCCCGGCGCAAAACUGCUGUACUCUACGGCCUUCCGGGAGCCCUCAGGCGGUCCAAACUGACCUGUUUGUCCGUGUCUCUGGCGAAGUGGAUUUCAUCCCCCUCACAGACUGACUCCGUUAUGGCUAUGGGAAUCGGUGUUGGGAGAACAGCUGGAGGCGUUGACAUAUGUUUUGUGUGGAUGCUUAUACAUUCCUUUUGGCUAAAACGUAAAUCUUUUAAUGAGAGGAGUGAAAUUUUCUCUUUCUACUGGAUUGUUUUCCUUUGGAAAGAUUGGAGGUACUUUUUUUGCUGAGGAAAUCCUCAGUUCAAGAGGAAUGCAUGGCAGCAGGAUUAGAGAAUUCAGCCUCCCACCUCAAUGCCUCCGCCCCAUCCAGACAAUACUUAGGAUGUCACAAAACAUGACUAAGGUAAAGGAUGACAAGAAGAAGAAAGAGUCUAUUCUCGGGCUUUGAAUUUCAAAAGACACUUUGAGCGUUGGGACUUCCAGGAUGGCAAACUGAAGAGCUCAGUAGAACCUCUCCCCAAAGGCAACUGUGAAACUGGACGGAAUAGACACUAACAAGAAUUUCAGGAUUUUGGAAGUUAAUCAAAGGUUUACAACACUUCAGACAUGUUAAUCUUGAAAAUUUACUAAACUUUUGAACAGUGAGAGCCUGUGGCAGUCUUGCCUGAAUCGACUCCCUCUCCCCGUCGUUUGGUGGGACAAGCCAGAACAACAAGCUUUGCUGAUCGAUGGAGCUCACUGGAUUUGGACUGAAGAAGAAAAAGCACCGGCCUAGUCAGUAACAAUAGUGCUCUCAGUAGCUAAUGAACAGGGAUGACAAGUGACUUAGCUAGCUUUGGGUUGUAACCCUGAUAGGGAAAUUUAACAAUGAGGUCUCAGAAAUGAAAAAUCCGUAGUGGGCCAUGAGAAGUUUUCCGUAUAUCCCUGGCUUUCUGUGAGCCUGGAUAAAUGUGUAGGGGAGGUGUCAGAGAACUAUGCAGAAAGCAAAAGCUGGGGAAGAAGAAAAAUGCCUGAACUUUAAAUACACAGCACAGCCCAUGCACGGAUCCACUGAAGUGAUAGAAAUAUUCUGACUUUUCACAGUGGUAUUUAUUGUACAAAUCUAAAAACUUACUCAAAGUCAUUAAAUUGCACAAUUACAAGGGGUGAAUUUUAUGGCAUGUAAAUAGUACUUUAAUAAAGCUAUAAAACAUGUGAAGGGACACUAAAAAAAUUUAUUUUGCAAUUAAUUUCCAGAGACAAUAAUUUGGUACAAAAGUGUUCUGGGCAUCUCAAACUUGUCUUUUGAGGUUUUGAGGUGUCCAUAGCUCAGGACAGAGAAGGGAGUCAGAGAUGCAAGUGAGCCAGACCUCAUUGGAAAUCCUUGACAAAAGGUUCUUUCUCCUAGUCAUUUCCAGGCUAACUGGCAGGUUGCAGAAAGAUGGUGGAAUGAAGAGAACGGGAGAAAAAAAUAUCGAAGACAACCUGCUUUUUUCCCCUUCAGAGGAAUUAAUAAGGCAAACAAGUAAAUCCUCUGUUUCCUUGGAACCACAGGGUGAUAAAGCAGGGAUGUAAAAAUUCGUAUGGGGUAUUAGUUGAAAUAGAGGCCUGAAGCAGAUUUUGAAAGUCCCCACAAACUCCAGGACUAGCUGUGCUGCACACAAAUGAUUUCCAGUAAGGCUGUGGAUGCCACGAUGGGUAGGUGCCACAAAAAGAAACCAGUGGAAAUGAGUUGUGACAGCAAAUGAACAUGCCAGCUUGCACAGUGGUUGAUAAAGAACUCUGGGUCUCUCUGUAGCACAUUGGCCAUAUGUAAUCCUCCUCAGAAUUAACAGCAACUCUGUAACUUAGGAGAAACCCUGAAUUAAGUUCAUUGAUGGUCAUUAAAUUGAAUAUUCUAAAUUGAACAAGUUUAAUUUCCUACAAUUGUUGAAAUAAGCAUUCAGGUGAAAAAUAAGUUCAGAAAUAUGAAACUAUGAAAAGUUAAACAUCUUAGAAACCUGACUUUAGGGUCAUAGAAGCACAUCAUAGAUUUAUGAAAAUGUACAUAGGACACCUUUCAAGGACACAAGUAUAGCAAGAUUAUACAGUGAGUUAAACAUACUUUUCUGACUGGAUACCACCUCAGAUUACAUAAAACGUUACUAAGUAUCAUCAUCAUAUUCAUUAUCAAGAAAUGCUUAUUAAAAACUUCCUUUCAGGGGCUGGCCCUGUGGCCGAGUGGUUAAGUUCGCGCGCUCCGCUGCAGGUGGCCCAGUGUUUUGUUGGUUUGAAUCCUGGGCGUGGACAUGGCAGUGCUCAUCAAACCACGCUGAGGCAGCAUCCCACAUGCCACAACUAGAAGGACCCACAACGAAGAAUAUACAACUAGGUACUGGGGGGUUUUGGGGAGAAAAAGGAAAAAAUAAAAUCUUAAAAAAAAAAAAAAAAAACUUCCUUUCACAUAAAUGUGUCAAAUAUACAAAAUUAAACUUUUUUUAUUCAGAGUGUUGAAAGGCCACUAAAGUAUAACUUAGAAGAACUAGGGUCCCAUUCACAUUCUGCUUCUAACUAAGCCUGAAAAAAUAAUUUAAAAUCUCUGGACCAAUGCUUUCUUAUUUUUAUAAAUGAGACAUGAAGCAAGAUGAUCUAUAAACCUCUUCCAGUAAUGGAAUUUUAUGACCAUAAUAUAGGCUAUAUGCUGCUUCGAAUACUUGGUGCAGCAAGAUUGGACAUUUAAUUAGUCAAUUAAUUAAAUCAGUCAAUAUUGUCAAAGAGAUCACUGAAGUGACACUGACAAAUACAUACCUUAAACAGAAUGAAUUGUUAUUUAUAUUAAAUUUCUUAUAUGAAUUAAAAUUUCUUAAAGAUGUUAAGAGACAAGGACAUUUUGUGACAUGAUUCAUAAUAGUUCAGUCAGGGGAUAAGAUUUUGAAUACAGGAUAAACCACCUAUUUUUCUGAAUGAAAAUUCACGGACGAUAAUCUUGUCAGUAGUUUAGCUCUUUCUAGAAAUAUUUGCACUCUCCAUGAACAGUGAAAAAUAACAUACACUUAGAUUGACAUCACUCAGCUAAGUAAUUUUUGAAAAUAUACAGGAGUCUUUUUCCAAGCAAGUCCAAAGAAAUAUGUUCAACAAUUGCCCAUGAAACAAAGAGAAUUACUGACAGAGGUUACAAAUGUGGGCAGAAGUUGUUGAGGCCACAACAACCUUUGCUCUGUUACAGUGACGCACAGGUGAAGUAAAUCUAAUAAGACAAUUGGAUUACUAGGAGAAAGCUUCUGAAAACCCAGUGAUUACGUCAGGUAAAAAAUAAUAAAGUGCGACUCUUGUACUUACUGAGACACAAAAAGGCAAUUAUGCAAAAAGACACUUAAAAGCUGUGCUGCUAAGAAUAUAGUCCUAAUCUUUCUUAAUCCCCCUUCCUUUCAAGUACCACUUUCCCAAUAUUUUCUUCAUUUUAAAUUCUCUUGGAAAACAUCCCUCGUGUUCACUAUCAUGUAGCAUUUAGUGAAUCUAUUUUUCUGUCUACCAUCAAACUUAAAUAACACUCCCUUCAUUGCUUUAAAACAUGUUUCUUCUUAAUAAUUAUCUUGAAAUUUUCACAUAUCCUUUCACCACUUUUUCCCAUACAUGUAUAUGUAGGAUUUUAGGAACCCAGCUAAUAGGAAUGGCUUUUCUUUAUUUUAAAUUCAGUAUUCUUGUGGAAUUUUGGAGUGUGACAACUAAGGGCCUUUCAGGAUUCUAUUUCAUCUCUUGCACCUUAUUCAUCUCUAAUAUCUAUCACCUAUCAUCAGGUCUGACAUAAAAUACAUACAACCUUAUUAUUUAACAGCUGCCCAGAGUAAAGGUAACCAAAUGAACAUUGCCAUAGAUGGAAUUGAAAAGCCAAAGGAAUUGACUGAAAUAGAAAUAUAUAGGUGACUGUCUGAGGGCACCUCAAAGGGUACUAUCUGAGAGCAUGCAUGGUCUGCUAAUUUAAGACGGCAACACAAUGCAUAAAUCCAACUGGAAAGAAACAUGCUCAUAGAGGAGAAUCAAUUUCAGUAAUGAGGUCUAUCACAGUAAUAGCCUUAUAGCUGGUAGUACACCUCAUUAUUUUUGAAAUCAUCAGCUCAAUCAUUUAUUUAUUGUUCUGAUUAUAAUGUUGAAUAAUUUCCUUGCAAUAAAUCAACAAAAGUUCUGCUUUAUAUAUAUAAUCUACUUAUGUAUACAUAUAUAUGAAAUUCUUGAUAGAUGGUUUUUAUUAACUUUGCCCUUGAAUCUUGCCCACUUAGUUGGUCAAUUAACUCUCUUUUGAAGUAUUGAUUCCCCUCAUUUAGCAAAGGAUAUCUAUCUGGUUUAAUAAUAUUUUUAAAUAUGACUUUUCCAAAAAAAAUUUAAAAGUAUUUAAGAUAGAUACUUGAGUUAAAUUAGGAAAAAUGGGUUAUUCUUUUUGAAACUGCAAUAAUAUAUUAUUACUGAAACUUUUGAAAUACAAUUUACUCACAUACCCCUUGGAUACUAUAAAAUCUGUCUCAUAUAAUGACAAAUAAUGGGCACCUUAUUUUAGGAGAUUCUUUUAAAAGUCCAUUUUUUAAAUGAAAUGUUUUCGGGCAUAGUUAUUUCAUUUGGUUUCCAUUAAUAUUGACAAAUAGAAAAAAAAGAACAUUCCUCUCAUAGUUUAGCUUUUUGUGAAAAGCAGUAUAUCAGAAUGAUUGUGGCACAGAUUGUGGCGUUAACCCACAGUUUGAAUCUGACUAAAUCAACUCCUAGUACCGAGAUAUUAGAGAAGGUAUCUAACUUUUCUGUGCUUCUAUUUUUACCUCCUUAAAAUGGACCUAAUGAUAUAACUUCCUUCAUGCAGAUGUUGAGCUAAAAUGGUAUAUAAAAGACCUGGAAGUGCCUGGCACAUAGAAAAUUCUGGAAAGUUUUGGCUGUUAUUGUUCUCCCUCCGAAUUUAUGCUAUUAAAAAUGUUUCAAGCUUGUCAAGCUUGUCAAGGUGAAAAAAAUUAAAACAUAAAAGUUAAAAGAAAAGCAAAAUAGAUAAAUUCGAGACCAUUUUCAAGUUGAAGAAGCCUAUAAAUGUUAGAAAAGUGAAAUGGAGAAAAACAUGUAGGAGACUGCUGUUACCAUAGACAGAGAAGGAUAACAAAGAUAAAAUGAGAAGGCAGGGAAAGACGAAGGAUAGCUACAGGAGGAAAUCAAGCAGAGGCCUGGGUUAUAAGCUGGAGAAGUGUAAAGGGAGUCACGGUGGAAAUAUGAUAGCAGAUCAAAGAAAUAGCUACAUAAUGAAAGGGAGAUAAGUAAAGUGAGAGGGUAAGAAGUAUCCCCUUUUCUCUAUUCAAAAUGCACUUGAAAAGAAAGAAAAAUCAGCCUUGUAAGAAAGUAUUAAAAAAAAUAGCGAGCAUGUUUAUAUACAGUCUUGAGUCGCUUAACUGCGUGGACGGGGGCGCUUCUGAUUGAUGUGUCGUUAAGCGAUUUGUCGCUGUGCGAACAUCACAGCGUGUGCUUACACAAACCUAGGUUGGAACAGCCUACUACACACCUAGGCUACAUCGUACUAAUAUGGGACCAUCAUUAUGUAUGCGGUCCGUCGUUGACUGAAACGUUGUCAUGUGGCGUACGACUGUACUUUAGGUAGCAAACUUAAAGACAAUUAUGAAUGAAGAAAAGGAAGAAAACAUUUAACACAAUAGACAGAAGCUGUGUAGGAUUUGCGGAAAUAUAAAACAAAAUAGACCCCCCCCCCAAAAAAAAAGAGAGAUUAAAACAAAGAAAAAUGAGUUCACCAGAGACUAGACUAGGAAGGACUUGGAAAAUAAGUUGUCUACUUUGGAUUUUAGAAGAUAUUCUUAUAAGAAAUUUUUCCUGUGAUCUUUCUAAGUAUUUCCAUUUUAACUUUUUUAUUCCCAAGUGAAAAAUAUCUUAAAAAUAUCUAUCUCUGCUCUUUUAUUUUCUUUCUUAUAUAUCAUUUGCAUAUUCCAUGGGCUAUUUUUAUUUUUUUAUUAUUUGUAUAUGUAAUGAUAAAAAAAGUAUCUUCUUUCAUUUGCACAUUUCAAAUAGGUCAAAAUACCUAUUUAGAUAAAAUAGAUAAUGUCUGAAAGAACCAUAGGUAAGCUCAUCAAAAUGUUUAGGAAUUUUUUUGCAGAUCAUAGUUCAAUUUAAAUUUAAAAGUAUUUCUGCUUGCUUUGUUCUAAAUAGAAAUAGAAAAUAGGAAGAGAGCCUGCUAUAUUUUUGGGGUUUUUUAUUUUAUUUUCCUAGCUGAAGUUCAUAAACCAAACAAAGGACAGGAAGCACAAGAUAGGAAGGGAUACAACAUUUAUGUUACACUGAUGAUUAAGGCAUCUCUAGGGCAAAAAUUUACCUUUUUCUUUUUUUUCUUUUUGAGGAAGAUUACCCUUGAGCUAACAUCUGCUGCCAAUCCUCCUCUUUUUGCUGAAGAAGACUGGCCCUGAGCUAACAUCCAUGCCCAUCUUCCUCUACUUUAUGUGUGGCAUGCCUACCACAGCAUAGUUUGUCAAGCGGUGCCAUGUCAGCACCCGGGAUCUGAACCAGCAAACCCCAGGCCACGGAAGCAGAACGUGUGCACUUCACCACUGUACCACCGGGCCGGCCCCACCUUUUUCUUACUCUUACAAAAAAUUUAGAAAUACACCAUCACAAUCAAAACCAACAUGUUCAUGUACCUUUGUGAAACCAAACAAAUAGCAAGCAGCAGGGGCCGGCCUGGUGGUGCAGCGGUUAAUUGUACACGUUCUGCUUCGGUGGCCCGGGGUUCGUCAGUUCAGAUCCUGGGUGCAGACAUGGAGCCACUUGGCAAGCCAUGCUGUGGUAGGCAUCCCACAUAUAAAAUAGAGGAAGAUGGGUAUGGAUGUUAGCUCAGGGCUGGGCUUCCUCAGCAAAAAGAGGAGGAUUGGCAGUGGUUAGCUCAGGGCCGAUCUUCCUCAAAAAAAAUAAAUAAAUAAUAAAAUAAAAUAAAAAAUCCUCAAAUAGCAAGCAACAUUAACUUAUUUAUCUGUUCCCCUUACACUCAAUCCUGGAAGAUAGGUCUGGGAAUAAAAGUCCAAAUUCCUAAUUAUCAUCUUUAAGACUUUGCACAAUCUGACUUCCACUGAUUUCUCCAACCUUAUUUUAUAUUAUUCUUACCUUUCUCACCUUGCCUGCUUGCCACUCUUCAAAGAAGCCAAACCCUUUGCUACUUAUAGGUCUUUACACUAUCUUCCCCUCCAGGUAGAAUAUUUUCUUCACUGGUAUUCAAAGGCUAAUUUAUUCAUAUUCUAUAGGACUCCACUGAAAUGUCACAAGUGACUAUUUUAUUUAAAGUGGCUUUGCCUAUAUCUUUGCUAAUCACAUUUUUUAUUUCCCUUUGCUGCAUGAUUCACAAUCUGUAGUCAUUGUUAUUAGUUACUUGUUUUCUUUGGCUGAGUGGAUUGUAAUGGAAUUAGGUGGGGAGUUUGUGUGUUCUGCCGACUGCUUUAUCUGCAGCAUCUGCCACACUGUGUUAUGAAGAAUGGAGCUCAACAAACCUUGAUUGAAUGAGAGUGAAUGAUUAAUUGUCACAUAACUAAGUUCCUUUCUCCCCACUUGGUGAAUCUGCCAGAACAGUGUCAGGAGAGGUUGUAUUGUGGAAUAAAUGUGUUUGAUGGCAGCAGGACAUUCCUUUUAUCCUUCAACGUGAUAUUUAAAAUGAUAUACUUUUUAAAUGUCAUACAUGAACAUAUUCCUGAUCAAAAGCUUCAAAUAAUGAAUUGUUUAUAGAGUAAAGCAUAAAAUUAUUUACCCUUCCUGUAUUUCUUCUUUAUUUCUGACAUAGCCAGAUUUAAACAAGUGGUGUGCACUGUUUCAAUUCACUCUCUAUUUUCAUACAUAAAUGUAUACAUAUACUUAACAUAUGUAUUAAACAUAAUUUAAAGCAUGGUAAAUAUGCUGUGAUUACUUUUUUUCCUGAGGAAGAUUUGGCCUGAGCUAACAUCUGUGCCAAUCUUCCUCUAUUUUGUAUGUGGGUCACUGCCACAGCAUGGCUGCUGAUGAGUGGUGUAGAUCCAUGCCCUGAAACAAAAACCAGGCCACCAAAGUGGAGCACAUCAAACUUAACCACUUGGCAACGGUGCUGGCCCUUGUAGUUACUUUAAUAACAUAGAAAGGGGAUAUUCACCUGACUCUCUUUUUCUUAUUGAUAACUGAGUAGAGGUCCAUAUUAGAAUGCAGUGGGAUGCCAGAUAACGUUUUAAAGACUUCACCAUUAAUGGGACUUAAAAUUAUUAUUUUUUUUUGCUGAGGAAGAUUUGCCCUGAGCUAACAUCUAUCACCAAUCUUCUUCUUUUUGUAUAUGAGCUGCCACCACAGCAUGGACACUGAUGGACAAGUGGUAUAGGUCUGCACCUGAGACCCAAACCCAGGCUGCCAAAGCAGAGUGCACCGAAUUUAACCACUAGUCUACCGUGGCUGGCCCUAUUGUCAUUGUUUUUGUUGUUGUGUCUGUCCUACUUUUUUCCUAUUACCAAAAUAAAAUGCUUUUUGGGUCAUAAUUAUAAGAGUUUAGGCACAGGCAUGCAUUUUUUGUUGUUAUUGUUGUUGUGUCCAUUUUUUUGUUUUUGAUAGGUUCCUACAAGAAUAAUUGUUGACUUAAAGGCUGUGAACAUGCUUCAUAAUUUUCAGUUCAACAAGAGAAGUCUGAGAAAACCUAUUUCCCAGAAAUUUUGUCAUAACAUGACAUAAUCUGUUUUAUAAACUGUUGUUAAUCUGAUAGACAAAACAUAACUCAUUUUUGGUUUUCUUUGUGCAUCUCUAUUUAUGGGUGAGAUUGCAUCUCAUUCACUAUGUGUUGGCCAUCUGCAUCUCAUUUUUCCUAUGGGAUUUGAUUGUUAUGCAUUUUUCUCACUUUUUUAUGAUUUAUUUUAGUUUGGUUUAUGGACUCUCUGUACUAUGGGUAAUAAUUCUUUGUCAUUGUGCCUUUAUUGGUCAGUGAUUUUAUGCUUUGUGAGGUCAAUUUCUUCUGUUUUCUUUUUUUUUUAGGUCAAUGUCAUUACUGUUUUAAGAGCACAUGAUAAUUUCUCCUUCCUAUGCUUUUUCUUUUAUAUUUAUUCAUUUUUAUUGAGAUAUAAUUGACAUAUGACAUUGUGUAAGGUUAAGAUACACAAAUUGUUGGGGCCAGCCAGGUGGCACAGCAGUUAAGUUUGCACAUUCCACUUCAGCAGCCUGGGUUUCACCAGUUCAGGUCCCGGGUGCGAACAUGGCACCACUUGUCAAGCCAUGCUGUGGCAGGCGUCCCACAUAUAAAGUAGAGGAAGAUGGGCACAGAUGUUAGCUCAGUCUUCCUCAGCAAAAAGAGGAGGAUUGGCAGCAGAUGUUAGCUCGGGGCUAAUCUUCCUCAAAAAAAAAAUACACAAAUUGUUGAUUUGAUAAAUUUAUAUAUUGCAAUAUUAUUACCACUCAACAUAGUCUUAGCUGACACAUCUAUCAGGUCACAAUUAUUAUUUCUUUUUUGUGGUGGGAGCAAUUAUGAUCAAGUCUCUUAGCAACUUUGAAGAUUAUAAUACAGUACAGUGGUCCCUUGGUGUCUGUUGGGGAUUGGUUCCAGGACUUCCCUUGGAUACCGGAAUCCAUGGAUGCUCAAGAACUUUAGUCAGCCCUCCAUAUCCACAGGGUUCUACAUCUCCAGAUUCAACCAGCCAGUGGUCAUAAACACAGUAGAUGAUCCGUGGUUGGUUGAAUCCGCAUACAGAACCUGUGGAUAUGGAUGGCCAACUGUCUUGUUGUCUGUAAUCAUUAAGCUAUGCAUUAAAUCACCAGGACUUAUUUAUCUACUAGUUGCAAGUUUGUAACCUUAAACAGCAUCUCCUCAAUUUCCCCACCUCUCAGCCCCUGAUAACCACCACCCUACUCUCCUUUUACAAGUUCAGGUUUUCUUUAGAUUCCACAUAUAAGUGAUUUCAUACAAUAUUUGUCUUUCUCUGUCUGACUUAUCUCACGUAGCAUAAUGCUGUCAAGGUCCUUCCAUUUUGUCACCAUUGUCAAUUUCUUCAUCUUUCCCUAUGUCAUGGUUGCAUUUUGAAUAUUCCCAAAAAAGGUCUUCCUCAUACUGAGAUUUUUUUUAGUCAUAUAUUUUAUCUGUAAUGGACUGAAUGUUUGUGUCUCCCCAAAAUUCAUACGUUGACAUUCUUACCUCCAAUGUGAUGGUAUUAGCAAGUAAGACCUUUGGGAAGUGAUUAAGUCUUGAGAGCAGAUCCCCCAUGAAAGGGAUUAUUGCUCUUCUAAAAGAGACUCCAGAAAGCUCCCUUGCCCCUGCCACUAUGUGAGGACACAGUGAGAAGAGAGUUGUUUAUGAAGUAGGAAGCAAGUCUCACCAGACACCAAAUCUGCUGACACCUUGAACUUAAACUUCCCAGCGUCCAGAACUGUGAAACAUAAAUUUUUCUUGUUUAUAAGGUACCCAGUCUAUGAUAUUCUGUUAUAGAAGACCAAAUAGACUAAGGCAUUAUCUAAUACAUUUAGUAAAUGCGUUUAGAAAUGUUUAGCAAUUUUAGGAAGCAAAUAUAACUUUAUUAUCUAAUUUUCUUUUUUUCGUUAACUACAAUUAUAUUUUCCUGAAAAAUUUUCUGACCUUAAAGCUUUUACAUUGAUCACUUGUGUAUUUCACAGGCAAUGCUAUAUAAUAUAUAUUAAUCUAGUUUACCGUGAUAUAAAUAUAUACUAUAAGUUUCGGA